GGUGCUUGACUCUGGUUCUAGUGCUCAUUUGUGCACUUCUAUGUAGGGUCUUGAGGAGAGCAGGAGGCUGAGGGAUGGGGAGAUGAUCCUAUGCAUCGAAAAUGGAGCAAGAGUUGCUGCGUGGCCGUGGGAACCUACCCUCUGUGAUUACCGUUAGGAUUAGAUUUAGUUUUAAGAGACUAUUAUUAUGUGCCUGCAGCA
Molecule: long non-coding RNA, 201 nt
Filed under: Elaeis guineensis (African oil palm)
Lineage: Eukaryota; Viridiplantae; Streptophyta; Magnoliopsida; Arecales; Arecaceae
Description: long non-coding RNA (EGUI_LNC077120)
Source: RNAcentral